UUUGGCUUGAAGAAUGCUAAAUGCACUGGUAAUCUAAAUCCUUCUCCUGUGAGUUAGUUGAGCAAAAUCAAUAGUCUGAAAUUAUAUGGUAGCAUGAUUAAACCUUUAAUUGCUGAUCAUCUUGAUAUCAUGCUUCAUUCUCAAGCUAAUGAUAAUUGUUUGAUGGUAUGAUUAAAUUGAAGUUCACUUUUGCCUGUAUAAUGCAUAACUAUGAAAUACACAAGUUUAUGCCUCAAGUUUCUAAUUCAAAAUAACUUGUGAUAAGCUAUGAAUCAUUGGACAUAAUGAAAAUGCUGUUUGCAUGAUAUAUAUUUAUAUGCAGCAUAUUAGAUUAAUUCUUUAUUCUGCUCUUUCAUGUAACUACUUGAAAAAUGACACAAAGAGAGAGAGAUAAAGAAAAAGAAAAUGAACAUUGCUCAGAAGAAGUAAAAGCUAAGUAAAUACUCCAAUCUUAAGGAAAAGAAAAAUAAGCAUAAUACAUUCGGCACAUUUGUGAGACUUGUGAAAGGGAUAAAAUCCGUAAUU
RNAcentral lists this long non-coding RNA (525 nucleotides) under Phoenix dactylifera (date palm). RNAcentral's name for it is "long non-coding RNA (PDAC_LNC020745)". Lineage: Eukaryota; Viridiplantae; Streptophyta; Magnoliopsida; Arecales; Arecaceae. The record is from RNAcentral.